This 254-nucleotide ribosomal RNA is filed under the name uncultured bacterium. RNAcentral's name for it is "partial 16S ribosomal RNA". It matches the Rfam family "Bacterial small subunit ribosomal RNA", at positions 524 to 776 of the family's 1533-position model. The record is from RNAcentral.
UACGGAGGGGGCUAGCGUUGUUCGGAAUUACUGGGCGUAAAGCGCGCGUAGGCGGCUUUGUAAGUUAGAGGUGAAAGCCCGGAGCCUCAACUCCGGAAUUGCCUUUAAGACUGCAUCGCUAGAAUCAUGGAGAGGUGAGUGGAAUUCCGAGUGUAGAGGUGAAAUUCGUAGAUAUUCGGAAGAACAACAGUGGCGAAGGCGACUCACUGGACAUGUAUUGACGCUGAGGUGCGAAAGCGUGGGGAGCAAACAGG